This is an RNA transcript of Nycticebus coucang (slow loris), 1109 nucleotides long. It is a transcript of the gene named protein SGT1 homolog, with no coding region annotated. The transcript has 2 exons. The record is from RefSeq and is a predicted model, not a curated record. Lineage: Eukaryota; Metazoa; Chordata; Mammalia; Primates; Lorisidae.
GUUUCCCUCUUGGGCGGUGGCAGAGCUGCUAACCGUGGUAAUCGCAGCUCCAGUGGCAGCAAUUAUGACUAUGAGGAAUGGCGGCGGCUGCAGCUGGCCCUGCAACAGCCCAAAGGUUUUUCCAGAGCUUGUCAGAUGCUCUGAUUGACAAGGACCCCCAGACGGCGUUAGAGGAGCUGACUAAAGCUUUGGAACAGAAACCAGAUGAUGCACAGUAUUACUGUCAAAGAGCUUAUUGUCACAUUCUUCUUGGGAAUUACUGUGAUGAUGUUGCUGAUGCAAAGAAGUCUCUAGAACUCAAUCCAAAUAAUUCUACUGCUAUGCUAAGAAAAGGGAUUUCUGAAUACCAUGAAAAAAACUAUGCUGCUGCUCUAGAAACUUUUACAGAAGGACAAAAAUUCGACAGCACAGAUGCUGAUUUCACUGUCUGGAUUAAAAGGUGUCAAGAAGCUCAGAAUGGAUCAGAAUCUGGGGUGUCUACAUCCUGGCAGACUCAUCAGUCAAAAAUCAAGUAUGACUGGUAUCAAACAGAAUCUCAAGUAAUCGGGUGGCUAAUCAUUACACUUAUGAUCAAGAAUGUUCAGAAGAAUGAUGUCAAUGUGGAAUUUUCAGAAAAAGAGUUAUCUGCGUUGGUGAAACUCCCAUCUGGAGAAGAUUACAAUCUGAAACUGAGACUACUUUAUCCUAUACCAGAACAAAGUACAUUUAAAGUACUUUCAACAAAGAUUGAAAUUAAAAUGAGAAAGCCAGAGGCUGUGAGAUGGGAAACACUAGAGGGGCAAGGAGAUGUGUGUAAGCCAAGACAAUUCAUAGCAGAUGUAAACAAUCUAUAUCCAUCAUCAUCUCAUUAUAUAAGAAACUGGGAUAAAUUGGUUGGUGAGAUUAAAGAAGAAGAAAAGAAUGAGAAGUUGGAGGGAGAGGCAGCUUUAAACAAAUUAUUUCAGCAGAUCUAUUCAGAUGGUUCUGAUGGAGUUAAAUGUGCUAUGAACAAACCAUUCACGCAGUCUGGUGGGACGGUUUUGAGAACCAACUGGUCUGAUGUAGGUAUAAGAAAAGUUGACAUCAACCCUCCUGAUGAUAUGUAAUGGGAAAAAUACUACAUAAAUUAA